CUACAGAAAUUCUAACUUCUGCUUAACAUUAGCAUCAGCAUUCUCACCAAGAGCAUCACUGCCCAUGUGUCCUUCUGAGAUUCUCAUCUAUCAUGCUUUUACAAUUACCAACCUCCAACCAUACAAGCAAAUAAACAGGAGAAAGUGCAUUGGAGAAACAGCAAAGCACAGAACAGUCCACAGAGACAGGCAGAGACAGCAACGGACCCCACCACAACUAAGUCCACAGGGACCUUGGAAUCCAAGCCCACAGGAGUACUGUAGUUCCUCACACCCUGUGAACACAGACAUGGGCCUGAAUGCUUCCUGGGCAGUGAGUGGCUGCCCCACCUCACAGUUCAGAGGAAAGAUGCCACUUGGAACUGGCGGCAGACGCGUAAGAUGUUAAUUUCACAAUACUGAGCACGUCAUUUCUUCCCAUGAGGCUGAAGAGCACAGUGAUUAGAACACAGGCUCAGGAGUCACAAAGAACCGGGUCCAGAUCCCUCUUAGCCCUCAAGAGGAGGAAGCUGACCUUCAGUUUCUUCACUUCUUUUACCUAUCUAUCUAUCUAUCUAUCUAUCAUUUUUUUUCUAGUUUCUUCACUUCUAAGGCAGAGGUGCCACCACUGCCUUGUCGGACUGGUGCUGGAAUAGAAGGAGAUCAUGGAGGUGGUGCAUUUAGCACAUAAGACAUGGAACAAGUUACUAUUACUGGCAUCUUUUGCGUGUGUCAAGGAAAGGACUUCUUUGCAAACUCAACUAAAUAAUGCAUAGUGGUCAAUCUCAUGUAGGGCCACUACUCUACCUCACUUAGGAUGAAGAGGUAGUGUGUCGUCAAACUCCUGAAUUCUAGUUUACUUGGCACUCAAAAUCACUACCAAUACAAAAGGACAAUGCAAACCCAAAUAAAGGGCUGCAAGGUGUGCUGCAUGACUGAGGCCUCACAGGAGCUGUGGGAGAGCUGAGUCACCACACAAGGUAUGGUCACCUAAGGACGAAUUCCAAAGAUCUGGAUUCACAUUAUCAACAAUUUUUGGAGACGUCAUCAGAUUUCUUACAGUUACCAAGUGUCAAAGAAUUAUAAAAAUAGCAGAAGGAAAUAAAUAUAACCUUUCCUUUCUGAUGAAGCACAUAGUAUGCCUCGAGGUCAUCAUCUUGAACGUCCUUUAUCUUUGAAUUCAGGAAUAUUCAUGUUUUUUGACAAACAAAUGAAAGAUUUCUGGACUGUUUCUGGGGGGAAAAAAAAAAAAACAAACUCCUCCAAGGAUAUGUUCUGUAUUGGAG
This is a long non-coding RNA of Canis lupus familiaris (dog), 1265 nucleotides long. RefSeq lists it as uncharacterized. NCBI's taxonomy places the organism in Eukaryota, Metazoa, Chordata, Mammalia, Carnivora, Canidae. The transcript is spliced from 6 exons. The record is from RefSeq and is a predicted model, not a curated record.